This 253-nucleotide ribosomal RNA is filed under the name uncultured bacterium. RNAcentral's name for it is "partial 16S ribosomal RNA". It matches the Rfam family "Bacterial small subunit ribosomal RNA", at positions 524 to 776 of the family's 1533-position model. The record is from RNAcentral.
UACGAAGGGUGCUAGCGUUGUUCGGAAUUACUGGGCGUAAAGCGAACGUAGGCGGUGUUCCAUGUCAGAGGUGAAAGCCUGGGGCUCAACUCCAGAAUUGCCUUUGAAACGGGAACGCUUGAGUCCGAGAGAGGAUGGCGGAAUUCCUAGUGUAGAGGUGAAAUUCGUAGAUAUUAGGAAGAACACCGGUGGCGAAGGCGGCCAUCUGGCUCGGUACUGACGCUCAGGUUCGAAAGCGUGGGGAGCAAACAGG